RNAcentral lists this ribosomal RNA (688 nucleotides) under uncultured bacterium. RNAcentral's name for it is "bacterial SSU rRNA". It matches the Rfam family "Bacterial small subunit ribosomal RNA", at positions 140 to 826 of the family's 1533-position model. The record is from RNAcentral.
GGGACAACCCGCCGAAAGGCGGGCUAAACCCGCGUACAUGCCACCGGGGCAUCCCGGAGGCAGGAAAGGCUUCGGCCGGACAGGGAUGGGCAUGCGGCGCAUUAGGCAGUAGGCGGGGUAACGGCCCACCUAACCGACGAUGCGUAGGGGUUCUGAGAGGAAGGUCCCCCACACUGGUACUGAGACACGGACCAGACUCCUACGGGAGGCAGCAGUGAGGAAUAUUGGUCAAUGGUCGGGAGACUGAACCAGCCAAGCCGCGUGAGGGAGGAAGGUACAGAGUAUCGUAAACCUCUUUUGUCAGGGAACAAAGACUGGGACGCGUCCCCGGAUGAGUGUACCUGAAGAAAAAGCAUCGGCUAACUCCGUGCCAGCAGCCGCGGUAAUACGGAGGAUGCGAGCGUUAUCCGGAUUUAUUGGGUUUAAAGGGUGCGCAGGCGGUCUGUUAAGUCAGCGGUCAAAGCCCGGGGCUCAACCCCGGCCCGCCGUUGAAACUGGCAGUCUCGAGUUGGAGAGAAGUAUGCGGAAUGCGCGGUGUAGCGGUGAAAUGCAUAGAUAUCGCGCAGAACUCCGAUUGCGAAGGCAGCAUGCCGGCUCCACACUGACACUGAGGCACGAAAGCGUGGGUAUCGAGCAGGAUUAGAUACCCUGGUAGUCCACGCAGUAAACGAUGAAUGAUGGCUGUCCG